Molecule: microRNA, 22 nt
Filed under: Ananas comosus (pineapple)
Lineage: Eukaryota; Viridiplantae; Streptophyta; Magnoliopsida; Poales; Bromeliaceae
Description: microRNA s0410_c46a
Source: RNAcentral
CGAUAACUGGUACACCAGAGCC